AGUGAACGCUGGCGGUAGGCCUAACACAUGCAAGUCGAACGGCAGCACAGUAAGAGCUUGCUCUUACGGGUGGCGAGUGGCGGACGGGUGAGGAAUACAUCGGAAUCUACUUUUUCGUGGGGGAUAACGUAGGGAAGCUUACGCUAAUACCGCAUACGACCUACGGGUGAAAGCAGGGGAUCUUCGGACCUUGCGCGAUUGAAUGAGCCGAUGUCGGAUCAGCUAGUUGGCGGGGUAAAGGCCCACCAAGGCGACGAUCCGUAGCUGGUCUGAGAGGAUGAUCAGCCAAACUGGAACUGAGACACGGUCCAGACUCCUACGGGAAGCAGCAGUUGGGAAUAUUGGACAAUGGGCGCAAGCCUGAUCCAGCCAUACCGCGUGGGUGAAGAAGGCCUUCGGGUUGUAAAGCCCUUUUGUUGGGAAAGAAAAGCAGCAGGUUAAUACCCCGCUGUUCUGACGGUACCCAAAGAAUAAGCACCGGCUAACUUCGUG
Molecule: ribosomal RNA, 492 nt
Filed under: uncultured bacterium
Lineage: Bacteria
Description: partial 16S ribosomal RNA
Rfam family: Bacterial small subunit ribosomal RNA
Source: RNAcentral